UGAGGAAUCUUCCACAAUGGACGAAAGUCUGAUGGAGCAACGCCGCGUGCAGGAUGAAGGCUUUCGGGUCGUAAACUGCUUUUAUUUGGGAAGAUUAUGACGGUACCAAAUGAAUAAGGGUCGGCUAACUACGUGCCAGCAGCCGCGGUAAUACGUAGGACCCAAGCGUUAUCCGGAAUUACUGGGCGUAAAGCGUACGUAGGCGGCGAGUUUAGUGAGAUGUUAAAUCCAAUGGCUCAACCAUUUGGCUGCAUCUCAAACUGACUUGCUGGAGUAUAGGAGAGGUAAGUGGAAUUACCGGUGUAGCAGUGAAAUGCGUAGAUAUCGGUAGGAACACCAAUGGCGAAGGCAGCUUACUGGCCUAUUACUGACGCUGAGGUACGAAAGCGUGGGGAGCGAACAGG
This 404-nucleotide ribosomal RNA is filed under the name uncultured bacterium. Its description in RNAcentral is "bacterial SSU rRNA". It matches the Rfam family "Bacterial small subunit ribosomal RNA", at positions 355 to 776 of the family's 1533-position model. The record is from RNAcentral.